UGGGGCGUGGCUCAGUGGGGGAGCCCUUGCCUGGCGUGCGGGAGGCCCUGGGUUCCAUCCCCAGCACUGCAA
RNAcentral lists this transfer RNA (72 nucleotides) under Ictidomys tridecemlineatus (thirteen-lined ground squirrel). RNAcentral describes it as "Spermophilus tridecemlineatus (thirteen-lined ground squirrel) tRNA". It matches the Rfam family "tRNA". Rfam says of the family: Transfer RNA (tRNA) molecules are approximately 80 nucleotides in length. Their secondary structure includes four short double-helical elements and three loops (D, anti-codon, and T loops). The record is from Rfam by way of RNAcentral. Lineage: Eukaryota; Metazoa; Chordata; Mammalia; Rodentia; Sciuridae.